This 442-nucleotide ribosomal RNA is filed under the name uncultured bacterium. RNAcentral describes it as "partial 16S ribosomal RNA". It matches the Rfam family "Bacterial small subunit ribosomal RNA", at positions 339 to 795 of the family's 1533-position model. The record is from RNAcentral.
CUACGGGCGGCUGCAGUGGGGAAUAUUGGGCAAUGGGCGCAAGCCUGACCCAGCAACGCCGCGUGAGGGAAGAAGGUUUUCGGAUUGUAAACCUCUGUCCUUGGGGACGAAGUAGUGACGGUACCCAAGGAGGAAGCUCCGGCUAACUACGUGCCAGCAGGCCGCGGUAAUACGUAGGGAGCAAGCGUUGUCCGGAAUUACUGGGCGUAAAGGGUGCGUAGGCGGCAUAUUAAGUCAGGUGUGAAAUACUCGGGCUCAACCCGGGGGCUGCAUUUGAAACUGAUAUGCUUGAGUGUGAGAGAGGAAAGUGGAAUUCCUAGUGUAGCGGUGGAAUGCGUAGAUAUUAGGAGGAACACCAGUGGCGAAGGCGACUUUCUGGCUCAUAACUGACGCUGAGGCACGAAAGCGUGGGGAGCAAACAGGAUUAGAUACCCCGGUAGUC